ACUGUUCACAGAACUACUAGUAAUGGUCAAUUCUCUACGAGGAUUGUAAAAGAGUUACAUAGAAUAUGUUUUGAAUAUUAUAUUAAAAAAUGUAGAAUCAAAUUUUCCAUUUCAAAUCAGCUGAAAUUUAAUUUGAUUACAGGUCGAUGAUUUCAAUAAAAGGGUGAAUUUUACUGUAUCAUUUAUUGUGGUGGGCCUGGCUACAUUCUUCUCUUAUCAUAAUGGUCAACGAGUAUUCAACCAGAAUGAUAUCCUACGUCGCGCAUUGGCCGAGCUUCCAUGGACAGACAAGCCUGAGUGGUUAAAGAAGAAUCUGCACAUCAUGAUGACCCGAGCCAACGUCGACAUCGAAAUGCGGCCCUUUGGCGUCUACACGCUCAACUAUAUGUCAUUCAAAGAUUUGAUGAAAACGGCGUAUUCCUUUGGGACAUUCUUUAUACAAAGAAGCUGAGUAGUCAAACACAAUAUUAAAAUUGGUGAGUAUUUCAAAAAUGGAAACCAAUGUGCAGGACAACAUAGGUUUUGAUUGGAGUUACUUUCUAUUGUUACAUCAAAAAUGUUUAGUCCCAGUGAAAUUGAAUGCAAGGAUAUUUUGUUAAUGUAAGAGUAAUAUCAGUUGAUAAAGUGAGUAUCCGAUUGGCCUAAUAUUGUUUUUUCCUCCACCUCCUGUCUAAAGUGCUUACUUUACUCCCUGGA
This is a long non-coding RNA of Nilaparvata lugens (brown planthopper), 696 nucleotides long. RefSeq lists it as uncharacterized. The record is from RefSeq and is a predicted model, not a curated record. NCBI's taxonomy places the organism in Eukaryota, Metazoa, Arthropoda, Insecta, Hemiptera, Delphacidae. The transcript is spliced from 3 exons.